UCCUACGGGGCGCAGCAGUGGGGAAUAUUGCACAAUGGGGGAAACCCUGAUGCAGCGACGCCGCGUGAGUGAAGAAGUAUUUCGGUAUGUAAAGCUCUAUCAGCAGGGAAGAAAAUGACGGUACCUGACUAAGAAGCCCCGGCUAACUACGUGCCAGCAGCCGCGGUAAUACGUAGGGGGCAAGCGUUAUCCGGAUUUACUGGGCGUAAAGGGAGCGUAGACGGCGCGGCAAGUCUGAAGUGAAAGCCCAGGGCUUAACCCUGGGACUGCUUUGGAAACUGUUAGACUAGAGUGCUGGAGAGGUA
Molecule: ribosomal RNA, 305 nt
Filed under: uncultured bacterium
Lineage: Bacteria
Description: bacterial SSU rRNA
Rfam family: Bacterial small subunit ribosomal RNA
Source: RNAcentral